ACCGCUGGUGGGAGGAGGCUCGGACAGAGCCCAGAAUCCCCCGCCCAGCUCCAGGGCCGGGCGGCCCUCACCGCCCCUACCUUCGGCUUCCCGCCCGGCAGCCGAGGGGCAGACACAACCCCCACAAUUCCAGGCGGCUCUAGUGGCAACCAGCUCCUCGUGCGUAGACGCCACGGCGACCGUCUGAACCUGUGAGCGCUCACUUAUUACGUCGCUGGCCGCCUCGCCCAAUUACUGCCUUCCAGAACGACAAGCGGCCGCCUCCCUUCCUUUCCUUUCGCGAACCUCUUAAGCCCCGCCUCUCUGCUCCGCUUCUGUUAAGUCCCGCCUUCUAGCGCAAACCUGAUCGGGCUCAGUGGAAGGAAAGGAAAACCAACACUAUCAAAGAUCUGCUUUGUGUCCAGUACUAUGUUGAAGGCUUUCACAUUACUCUUCUAAACCUUACAAGUCCAAGAUCAAACCCAACAGUGAAUGGGAGUUACAGUUGUUCCGCAUCCUCGCCUAAACUUGGUAUGGUCAGAAUUUUAACAUUCAGACAACACAUGUGCUGCUAUGUCACGAAGAUACUCAAACAGCCCCAGAAGGAGGGUGGGCGCCUGAAGUGUCCAGCGAACAGUCAUGGGAGUGAAGCAUCCUAGAAGAGAGUCCUCCAGACCCAGUCAAGGUUUCAGUUUCUAGGUGAUGCAUUUGUUCUGAAAAUGCCUGGAUGGACCAAGACCCUCUGGAACCUCUGCAGAAAAUUCAGAUGUCUGGAGAAUAUGGCUGUACCUACCUUGUCCUUCCCCAACUCUAACAAAAUAGGUGUGGACUGACCCUGGGUUUUCCAGGUUCUUCAGCAAAGGUUAGCUCCUUUCUACCUCAUCUCCCACUACCUACACCUGUGCCCUCUAACAGGCUACAAAUAUAUCCACAUGUGCUUCCCCAAA
Molecule: long non-coding RNA, 926 nt
Organism: Suricata suricatta (meerkat)
Lineage: Eukaryota; Metazoa; Chordata; Mammalia; Carnivora; Herpestidae
Exons: 5
Source: RefSeq, a predicted model, not a curated record